AUUGAACGCUGGCGGCAUGCCUUACACAUGCAAGUCGAACGGCAGCACGGGAGCAAUCCUGGUGGCGAGUGGCGAACGGGUGAGUAAAGUAUCGGAACGUACCUUUCAGUGGGGGAUAACGUAGCGAAAGUUACGCUAAUACCGCAUAUUCUGUGAGCAGGAAAGCAGGGGAUCGCAAGACCUUGCGCUGAUGGAGCGGCCGAUAUCAGAUUAGCUAGUUGGUGAGGUAAAGGCCCACCAAGGCGACGAUCGAUAGCUGGUCUGAGAGGAUGAUCAGCCACACUGGAACUGAGACACGGUCCAGACUCCUACGGGAGGCAGCAGUAGGGAAUAUUGGACAAUGGGGGCAACCCUGAUCCAGCCAUGCCGCGUGAGUGAAGAAGGCCCUCGGGUUGUAAAGCUCUUUUGUCCGGAAAGAAAAGCAUCUGGUUAAUACCCGGGUGUUCUGACGGUACCGGAAGAAUAAGC
Molecule: ribosomal RNA, 468 nt
Filed under: uncultured bacterium
Lineage: Bacteria
Description: bacterial SSU rRNA
Rfam family: Bacterial small subunit ribosomal RNA
Source: RNAcentral